This 69-nucleotide ribosomal RNA is filed under the name Silene fruticosa. Its description in RNAcentral is "partial 5.8S ribosomal RNA". It matches the Rfam family "5.8S ribosomal RNA", at positions 90 to 154 of the family's 154-position model. Rfam says of the family: 5.8S ribosomal RNA (5.8S rRNA) is a component of the large subunit of the eukaryotic ribosome. It is transcribed by RNA polymerase I as part of the 45S precursor that also contains 18S and 28S rRNA. The record is from RNAcentral. Lineage: Eukaryota; Viridiplantae; Streptophyta; Magnoliopsida; Caryophyllales; Caryophyllaceae.
CAUCGAGUUUUUGAACGCAAGUUGCGCCCGAAGCUUCCGGCUGGGGGCACGUCUGCCUGGGCGUCACGC